RNAcentral lists this ribosomal RNA (497 nucleotides) under uncultured bacterium. Its description in RNAcentral is "partial 16S ribosomal RNA". It matches the Rfam family "Bacterial small subunit ribosomal RNA", at positions 28 to 507 of the family's 1533-position model. The record is from RNAcentral.
GACGAACGCUGGCGGCGUGCCUAAUACAUGCAAGUUGAGCGCUGAAGGUUGGUACUUGUACCAACUGGAUGAGCAGCGAACGGGUGAGUAACGCGUGGGGAAUCUGCCUUUGAGCGGGGGACAACAUUUGGAAACGAAUGCUAAUACCGCAUAAAAACUUUAAACACAAGUUUUAAGUUUGAAAGAUGCAAUUGCAUCACUCAAAGAUGAUCCCGCGUUGUAUUAGCUAGUUGGUGAGGUAAAGGCUCACCAAGGCGAUGAUACAUAGCCGACCUGAGAGGGUGAUCGGCCACAUUGGGACUGGGACACGGCCCAAACUCCUACGGGAGGCAGCAGUAGGGAAUCUUCGGCAAUAGACGAAAGUCUGACCGAGCAACGCCGCGUGAGUGAAGAAGGUUUUCGGAUCGUAAAACUCUGUUGGUAGAGAAGAACGUUGGUGAGAGUGGAAAGCUCAUCAAGUGACGGUAACUACCCAGAAAGGGACGGCUAACUACGUG